GGUACCAUUGGAUUGCCCAAAGGAGAACAGUUUAAUAAAAAAAAUUCUGAAAACAAAAACUAACUUCAUGGUCUGUCUAUGAUGCAGUUCCGCUGCUGCGGUGUGACCAACCACACCGACUGGUUUGAAGUUUACAACGCCUCCCGUGUGCCGGACUCCUGCUGCCUGGAGUACAGCGACAACUGUGGCCUAGACAACCCAGGAACAUGGUGGACAGCGCCGUGCUACGAACGAGUGAAGGACUGGCUUAAUGAGAACCUGGUGGCCCUGUGGAUCUUUGCUCUGUGCACAGCACUUACUCAGGUUCAAACACUGAUGACAUCUAUUAAACAAGACAAAAGGCAAGGAAUCAAACAGAGGCAGAAUUCAAUUUGGACUCAGAUCUGAGGAGAGACAUGGCCACUGUACUCUCUGUACAGUCCUGCACCACGCUCUGACGAAGAAGAUUCUGGGCCUGGUCUUCUCCAUGACGAUGUUCUGUCAGGCUGUCAAAGUCGAAACCUUCUACGCCUAACCCUUCACUCCUCCUGACGCAUACCAGUACUCACAUCCAACAAGCACAGUGUUACACCUUUCCUAUCGUUUGCUGUGUCCAGUACUAAUUUCUGUGAUGCAUUUUACCCAGCAGUAUAACAAACAUGUGUUAAACAAUGUAAUCCUUUUUUAAUGUGUUGCUUUUAAAUUAUUUCAUGUUUUUACGUGUUUUCAAGCCGGGGUGCGG
This is an RNA transcript of Entelurus aequoreus (snake pipefish), 721 nucleotides long. It is a transcript of the gene named tetraspanin-4-like, with no coding region annotated. Lineage: Eukaryota; Metazoa; Chordata; Actinopteri; Syngnathiformes; Syngnathidae. The transcript is spliced from 4 exons. The record is from RefSeq and is a predicted model, not a curated record.